This 341-nucleotide ribosomal RNA is filed under the name Cerconychia sp. SMB-2007. RNAcentral describes it as "partial 12S ribosomal RNA". It matches the Rfam family "Microsporidia small subunit ribosomal RNA", at positions 757 to 1198 of the family's 1311-position model. Lineage: Eukaryota; Metazoa; Arthropoda; Insecta; Plecoptera; Styloperlidae. The record is from RNAcentral.
GUAUUAGAUAUGGUCUUGAAACUCAAAGAAUUUGGCGGUGUUUUAGUCCUUUCAGAGGAACCUGUCCCGUAAUCGAUAAUCCACGUUAUAUCUUACUUGAUUUUGUGAUCAGCUUGUAUACCGCCGUCGUCAGAAUGUCCUUAAAGGGAAAAAUUUUCUUAAAUUUAAAUUGAAAAUUAUGUCAGGUCAAGGUGCAGUUUAUGGUCAAGAGGUGAUGGGUUACAAUAAAUGUAUUUAUAUGGAUAGUUAGUUGAAAUGAAUAAAUUAGAAGGUGGAUUUGAUGGUAAUAUAAAUAAUUAAGUUUAUUUGAUUUUGGCUCUAAAAUAUGCACACAUCGCCCG